CCCUCCUACGGGGGGCAGCAGUGGGGAAUAUUGCACAAUGGGGGAAACCCUGAUGCAGCGACGCCGCGUGAGUGAAGAAGUAUUUCGGUAUGUAAAGCUCCAUCAGCAGGGAAGAAGCAAGACGGUACCUGACUAAGAAGCCCCGGCUAACUACGUGCCAGCAGCCGCGGUAAUACGUAGGGGGCAAGCGUUAUCCGGAUUUACUGGGUGUAAAGGGAGCGUAGACGGCUGUGCAAGUCUGAAGUGAAAGCCCGUGGCUCAACCGCGGAACUGCUUUGGAAACUGGAUAGCUUGAGUACUGGAGG
RNAcentral lists this ribosomal RNA (305 nucleotides) under uncultured bacterium. RNAcentral's name for it is "bacterial SSU rRNA". It matches the Rfam family "Bacterial small subunit ribosomal RNA", at positions 334 to 655 of the family's 1533-position model. The record is from RNAcentral.